GGUUAUACGAGAGGCCCAAGUUGACAAGCUUCGGCGUAAAGCGUGGUUAAGGAAUAAUAAACACUAAAGCCGAACACUUACUAGGCUGUUAUACGCUCCCGAAAAUAAGAAGACCAUCUACGAAGGUGGCUUUAUUUCACCUGAACCCACGAAAGCUAAGGAACAAACUGGGAUUAGAUACCCC
This 184-nucleotide ribosomal RNA is filed under the name Epinephelus marginatus (dusky grouper). RNAcentral describes it as "partial small subunit ribosomal RNA". Lineage: Eukaryota; Metazoa; Chordata; Actinopteri; Perciformes; Serranidae. The record is from RNAcentral.